This 847-nucleotide ribosomal RNA is filed under the name uncultured bacterium. RNAcentral describes it as "bacterial SSU rRNA". It matches the Rfam family "Bacterial small subunit ribosomal RNA", at positions 74 to 914 of the family's 1533-position model. The record is from RNAcentral.
GGGGGGCAACCCCCUAGUAGAGUGGCGAACGGGUGAGUAAUAUAUCGGAACGUGUCCUGUAAUGGGGGAUAGCUCGGCGAAAGCCGGAUUAAUACCGCAUACGAUCUACGGAUGAAAGUGGGGGAUUCGCAAGGACCCCACGUUAUAGGAGCGGCCGAUAUCGGAUUAGCUAGUUGGUGAGGUAAAGGCUUACCAAGGCAACGAUCCGUAGCUGGUCUGAGAGGAUGAUCAGCCACACUGGAACUGAGACACGGUCCAGACUCCUACGGGAGGCAGCAGUGGGGAAUUUUGGACAAUGGGGGCAACCCUGAUCCAGCCAUGCCGCGUGAGUGAAGAAGGCCUUCGGGUUGUAAAGCUCUUUCAGACGGAAAGAAACGGCGCGGGUUAAUAUCCUGCGCUAAUGACGGUACCGUAAGAAGAAGCACCGGCCAACUACGUGCCAGCAGCCGCGGUAAUACGUAGGGUGCGAGCGUUAAUCGGAAUUACUGGGCGUAAAGCGUGCGUAGGCGGCGGCUUGUGUCAGGUGUGAAAGCCCCGGGCUUAACCUGGGAAUUGCGCUUGAAACUAGGUCGCUAGAGUUCAUUAGAGGGGGGUGGAAUUCCAGGUGUAGCAGUGAAAUGCGUAGAGAUCUGGAGGAACACCGAUGGCGAAGGCAGCCCCCUGGGGUGAAACUGACGCUCAGGCACGAAAGCGUGGGGAGCAAACAGGAUUGGAUACCCUGGUAGUCCACGCCCUAAACGAUGUCAACUAGUUGUUGGGAGAAUUUAAUCUCCCAGUAACACAGCUAACGCAUGAAGUUGACCGCCUGGGGAGUACGGCCGCAAGGUUAAAACUCAAAGGAAUUGAC